Cricetulus griseus (Chinese hamster) is the source of this 843-nucleotide non-coding RNA. The record is from RefSeq and is a predicted model, not a curated record. Lineage: Eukaryota; Metazoa; Chordata; Mammalia; Rodentia; Cricetidae.
UCAUCUACAUAUGUAGCUGCACCUGAUGGAACUUAUUUUGCUUGCUCUAAGGGACUCACCACCCUUUUUUCCACCUUUCAGUUUCUAGAGAAUAAAGAUUAUUGCGUUUUGGUACAGCUUUUGCCUCAAAUCAAAUACUAUUCAGGGGAGAUCCUGGUCUCACAGGCACAGCGCAGAGUGCUGAGAGAGCCUGUCUCUAUGACCAUUGCCCUUAUGCUGGGGAUUGGUGGCCUUGUUGCCGGUAUAGGAACCGGAACAGCUGCCCUUGUACAAAACAAUCAACUGUUGCAAUUACAAAUAGCUAUGAACACGGAUCUUGAGGCCAUAGAAAGAUCCAUCAGUGCUCUGGAAAAAUCGCUGACCUCUCUAUCCGAGGUGGUUUUGCAAAAUAGAAGAGGGCUGGAUCUCCUGUUCCUUAAGGAAGGUGGCCUUUGCGCUGCUUUAAGGGAAGAAUGUUGUUUCUAUGCUGACCAUACUGGCAUUGUCAAAGAGUCUAUGGAAAUCCUGAGAGAACGGUUGGCUAAAAGAAAGAGAGAGUUUGAGAACCAAAAAGGAUGGUUCUCAAAUUUGCUACAGGGAUCCCCCUGGUUGUCUACUUUACUCCCAACUAUUAUAGCCCCCUUAAUUGUUUUCCUAUUGCUUCUUUCUUUUGGCCCAUGGGCCCUUCAACGGCUAACCCAGCUUAUUAAAAGACAAAUUGAUUCGGCCUUACCUAAAAGUAUUUCGGUCCAUUACCACAAAUUAGUAGCAGCUGACCCGGGGGAGGAGCGAGGGUCGCAGCAAGAGCUCAGGUUCAGUAAUCAAGGACUCAGGUUUAAUAACUCAAGAUUGAUGCAGCUGUAA